This 67-nucleotide transfer RNA is filed under the name Nemertopsis sp. WYS-2013. Its description in RNAcentral is "tRNA-Ser". The record is from RNAcentral. Lineage: Eukaryota; Metazoa; Nemertea; Enopla; Monostilifera; Emplectonematidae.
AGAAGUAACACUAAGAAGUUAUGGCUGCUAACUAUGAUUUGAGUAGGUAAUUCUAUUCUUACUUUUA